This 425-nucleotide ribosomal RNA is filed under the name uncultured bacterium. RNAcentral's name for it is "bacterial SSU rRNA". It matches the Rfam family "Bacterial small subunit ribosomal RNA", at positions 354 to 796 of the family's 1533-position model. The record is from RNAcentral.
GUGGGGAAUAUUGGACAAUGGGCGCAAGCCUGAUCCAGCCAUGCCGCGUGGGUGAAGAAGGCCCUAGGGUUGUAAACCCCUUUCAGCGGGGAAGAUAAUGACGGUACCCGCAGAAGAAGCCCCGGCUAACUCCGUGCCAGCAGCCGCGGUAAUACGGAGGGGGCUAGCGUUGUUCGGAAUUACUGGGCGUAAAGCGCGCGUAGGCGGACCUGCAAGUCGGGGGUGAAAGCCCGAGGCUCAACCUCGGAACUGCCUUCGAUACUGCGGGUCUCGAGUCCGGGAGAGGUGAGUGGAAUUCCUAGUGUAGAGGUGAAAUUCGUAGAUAUUAGGAAGAACACCAGUGGCGAAGGCGGCUCACUGGCCCGGUACUGACGCUGAGGCGCGAAAGCGUGGGGAGCAAACAGGAUUAGAAACCCGAGUAGUCC